CACCCCAAAAUACCCUGAACUGCCCCAAACUGCUGCUCACAGGGCACCCCAAAAACUCCCCGAGUUACCCCGAAAUCCCCAAAAUUGCCCAAAAUGCCGCGUUCACGUGGUGCCCUAAAAUAUCUGAAAUUGCCCCAAACUGCAGCUCAAAAACUCCAUGAGUUACCUCAAAAUUCCCCAGAUUGCCCCGAAAUUCUGUGCCCUGUAAUACCAAAACUGCCCCAAACUGCUGCUCACGGGGCACCCCAAAAAACCCCCGAGUUACCCCAAAAUCCCCCAAAUUGCCCCGAAAUUCUGUGCCCCAAAAUACCCAAAACUGCCCCAAACUGCUGCUCACGGGACGCCCCAAAAACCCCUGAGUUACCCCAAAAUCCCCAAAGUUGUCCCAAAAUUCUGCACCCCAAAAUAUCCAUAAUUGCCCCAAACUGCUGCUUGUGGGACACCCCAAACCCCCCCGAGUUACCCCAAAUGCUGCACCCCAAAAUACCUGAAAUUACCCCAAAGUGCUGCUCCCGCUGCACCCCAAAACUCUCCAAGACACCCCAAAAUCCCCCAAACUGCCCAAACUGCCGGGCUCACGUGUUGCCCAAAAAUACCCAAAAUUGCCCCAAACUGCUGCUCACGGGGCGCCCCAAAAACUCCUCGAGUUACCCCAAAAUCCCCCAAAUUGCCCCUAAAUCCCCUGAUCACGCGGUGCCCCAAAAUCCCCUGGGUCACCCCAAAAUUACUCUGAGUUACCCCAAAACACCAAAAAUUGCCCCAAAACCCCCUCGUCACGUGGUGCCCCGAAACACUCGGAGUCACCCCAAAACGCCUGGAGUUACCCCAAAAUUGCCCCCAAAUUCCCCUGAGUUACCCCAAAAUUCCCCAAAUUGCCCCCAAAUUCCCCUGACUUACCCCAAAACUUCGUGGCCGCCCUGCACCCCAGAAUAUCCGAAAUUGCCCCAAAAUAUCCUGAACUGCCCCGAACGUCCCCGAACAUUGAGGCCCAAAAACGCCUCAAAUUACCCCAAAACGCCUCAAAUCGCCCCAAAACGGCCGCGCUCCCGCGGCCCCUCCAAGCGGGGUCCCCAAUCCCCCCAAAUCCCCCCAAAUCUCGUCCCGAACUGCCCAAAAUCGCCCCAAAACUCCCCAGAUCACCCCCUGAAAUUUGCCAAAUCGCCCCGAAAUUUCCCAAAUUACGCUGGAACCCCCCGGAAUUUCCCCGGAAUCCCCCAAAAUUCGGCCGCUCACGCCCGCCCUCGCUGUGCCC
Molecule: long non-coding RNA, 1252 nt
Filed under: Manacus vitellinus (golden-collared manakin)
Lineage: Eukaryota; Metazoa; Chordata; Aves; Passeriformes; Pipridae
Description: lncRNA (ENSMVIG00005006256.1)
Source: RNAcentral